Molecule: ribosomal RNA, 468 nt
Filed under: uncultured bacterium
Lineage: Bacteria
Description: partial 16S ribosomal RNA
Rfam family: Bacterial small subunit ribosomal RNA
Source: RNAcentral
AACGAACGCUGGCGGCAUGGAUUAGGCAUGCAAGUUGAACGAACCACUUCGGUGGUGAGUAGCGGAAGGGUGAGGAACGCGUGAGUAAUCUGCCCCCAAGUUGGGAAUAACAGCUGGAAACGGCUGCUAAUACCGAAUGUGGCUUGAGAUUCGCAUGAAUCUCUGGCUAAAGAUUUAUUGCUUGGGGAUGAGCUCGCGUCCCAUUAGGUAGUUGGUGAGGUAACGGCCCACCAAGCCGAUGAUGGGUAGCUGGUCUGAGAGGAUGGUCAGCCACACUGGGACUGAGACACUGCCCAGACUCCUACGGGAGGCUGCAGUCGAGAAUCUUGGGCAAUGCGCGAAAGCGUGACCCAGCAAUGCCGCGUGUAUGAUGAAGGUCUUCGGAUUGUAAAAUACUGUCUCCCGUGACGAUAAUGACGGUAGCGGGGAAGGAAGCCACGGCUAACUACGUGCCAGCCGCCGCAGUAA